This 84-nucleotide ribosomal RNA is filed under the name Ignatzschineria indica. Lineage: Bacteria; Pseudomonadati; Pseudomonadota; Gammaproteobacteria; Cardiobacteriales; Ignatzschineriaceae. The record is from RNAcentral.
UCCCAUCCCGAACUCAGAAGUGAAACGUAGCAGCGCCGAUGGUAGUGUGGGAGAUCCCAUGUGAGAGUAGGUCAACCUCAGGGC